RNAcentral lists this ribosomal RNA (673 nucleotides) under uncultured beta proteobacterium. RNAcentral describes it as "bacterial SSU rRNA". It matches the Rfam family "Bacterial small subunit ribosomal RNA", at positions 1 to 673 of the family's 1533-position model. Lineage: Bacteria; Pseudomonadati; Pseudomonadota; Betaproteobacteria. The record is from RNAcentral.
AGAGGUUUGAUCCUGGCUCAGAUUGAACGCUGGCGGCAUGCCUUACACAUGCAAGUCGAGCGGCAGCGCGGGGGCAACCCUGGCGGCGAGCGGCGGACGGGUGAGUAAUGCAUCGGAACGUGUCCUCUUGUGGGGGAUAACCAGUCGAAAGACUGGCUAAUACCGCAUGAGCUCGAGAGAGGAAAGCAGGGGAUUCGCAAGGACCUUGCGCGAGAGGAGCGGCCGAUGCCCGAUUAGCUAGUUGGCGGGGUAACGGCCCACCAAGGCGACGAUCGGUAGCUGGUCUGAGAGGACGACCAGCCACACUGGGACUGAGACACGGCCCAGACUCCUACGGGAGGCAGCAGUGGGGAAUUUUGGACAGUGGGGGCAACCCUGAUCCAGCCAUGCCGCGUGUGUGAAGAAGGCCUUCGGGUUGUAAAGCACUUUCGGACGGAACGAAAUCGCGCGUGUUAAUAACCCGCGUGGAUGACGGUACCGUAAGAAGAAGCACCGGCUAACUACGUGCCAGCAGCCGCGGUAAUACGUAGGGUGCGAGCGUUAAUCGGAAUUACUGGGCGUAAAGUGUGCGCAGGCGGCUGAGCAAGUCGAGUGUGAAAGCCCCGGGCUUAACUUGGGAAUUGCGCUCGAAACUACUUGGCUGGAGUUGUGGCAAGGAAGGUGGAAUUCCACG